Molecule: ribosomal RNA, 253 nt
Filed under: uncultured bacterium
Lineage: Bacteria
Description: partial 16S ribosomal RNA
Rfam family: Bacterial small subunit ribosomal RNA
Source: RNAcentral
UACGUAGGGUGCGAGCGUUAAUCGGAAUUACUGGGCGUAAAGCGUGCGCAGGCGGUUGUGUAAGCCAGAUGUGAAAUCCCCGGGCUUAACCUGGGAAUGGCAUUUGGGACUGCACGGCUAGAGUGUGGCAGAGGGGGGUGGAAUUCCGCGUGUAGCAGUGAAAUGCGUAGAGAUGCGGAGGAACACCGAUGGCGAAGGCAGCCCCCUGGGUUAACACUGACACUCAUGCACGAAAGCGUGGGGAGCAAACAGG